This 105-nucleotide small nuclear RNA is filed under the name Peromyscus maniculatus bairdii (prairie deer mouse). The record is from RNAcentral. Lineage: Eukaryota; Metazoa; Chordata; Mammalia; Rodentia; Cricetidae.
GCGCUCCCUUAGGCAGCACACAGAGUGAAAAUGGAAUGAGACGGGAAGAUAACAUGGUCCCCAUGCAAGGGUGACACAUAGACUCAUGAAGCGUUCCGCGUUUUC